RNAcentral lists this ribosomal RNA (499 nucleotides) under uncultured bacterium. Its description in RNAcentral is "partial 16S ribosomal RNA". It matches the Rfam family "Bacterial small subunit ribosomal RNA", at positions 28 to 507 of the family's 1533-position model. The record is from RNAcentral.
GACGAACGCUGGCGGCGUGCCUAAUACAUGCAAGUCGAGCGAAGUUUUUCUGGUGCUUGCACUAGAAAAACUUAGCGGCGAACGGGUGAGUAACACGUAAAGAACCUGCCUCAUAGACUGGGACAACUAUUGGAAACGAUAGCUAAUACCGGAUAACAGUAUUUCUCGCAUGAGAGAUAUUUAAAAGUUGGUUAUGCUAACACUAUGAGGUGGCUUUGCGGUGCAUUAGCUAGUUGGUGGGGUAAAGGCCCACCAAGGCGACGAUGCAUAGCCGACCUGAGAGGGUGAUCGGCCACACUGGGACUGAGACACGGCCCAGACUCCUACGGGAGGCAGCAGUAGGGAAUCUUCCGCAAUGGGCGAAAGCCUGACGGAGCAACGCCGCGUGAGUGAAGAAGGAUUUCGGUUCGUAAAGCUCUGUUGUUAGGGAAGAAUGGAUAUGUAGUAACUAUACAUGUAAGAGACGGUACCUAACCAGAAAGCCACGGCUAACUACGUG